GGGCUCGUAGCUCAGUUGGCAGAGCAUCCGGCUCAUAACCGGACGGUCGGGGGUUCGAUCCCCUCCGAGCCCACCA
RNAcentral lists this transfer RNA (76 nucleotides) under Fervidobacterium islandicum. RNAcentral describes it as "tRNA-Ile". It matches the Rfam family "tRNA". From Rfam's summary of the family: Transfer RNA (tRNA) molecules are approximately 80 nucleotides in length. Their secondary structure includes four short double-helical elements and three loops (D, anti-codon, and T loops). Lineage: Bacteria; Thermotogati; Thermotogota; Thermotogae; Thermotogales; Fervidobacteriaceae. RNAcentral also lists the same sequence under 7 other names. The record is from RNAcentral.